Molecule: small nuclear RNA, 23 nt
Filed under: Arabidopsis thaliana (thale cress)
Lineage: Eukaryota; Viridiplantae; Streptophyta; Magnoliopsida; Brassicales; Brassicaceae
Description: snRNA_03485
Source: RNAcentral
UGCAUCAGAGAGAUUCCCAUCUA